RNAcentral lists this ribosomal RNA (397 nucleotides) under uncultured bacterium. RNAcentral describes it as "bacterial SSU rRNA". It matches the Rfam family "Bacterial small subunit ribosomal RNA", at positions 362 to 776 of the family's 1533-position model. The record is from RNAcentral.
UAUUGCACAAUGGGGGAAACCCUGAUGCAGCGACGCCGCGUGAGUGAAGAAGUAUUUCGGUAUGUAAAGCUCUAUCAGCAGGGAAGAAAAUGACGGUACCUGAUUAAGAAGCCCCGGCUAACUACGUGCCAGCAGCCGCGGUAAUACGUAGGGGGCAAGCGUUAUCCGGAUUUACUGGGUGUAAAGGGAGCGCAGGCGGUCUGGCAAGUCUGAUGUGAAAGGCCGGGGCUCAACCCCGGGACUGCAUUGGAAACUGUCAGACUGGAGUGUCGGAGAGGUAAGCGGAAUUCCUAGUGUAGCGGUGAAAUGCGUAGAUAUUAGGAGGAACACCAGUGGCGAAGGCGGCUUACUGGACGAUGACUGACGCUGAGGCUCGAAAGCGUGGGGAGCAAACAGG